RNAcentral lists this ribosomal RNA (348 nucleotides) under Triticum aestivum (bread wheat). Its description in RNAcentral is "partial small subunit ribosomal RNA". Lineage: Eukaryota; Viridiplantae; Streptophyta; Magnoliopsida; Poales; Poaceae. The record is from RNAcentral.
AUGUGUAUGGUAUUGCUCUACACGUCCCAUACCCGCGCACCCGUGUGCCUUGGCCAUCGCCUUGGCGCACAACCCACCGCACCAGCCAGGCGCACGGCCAGCACGCACGCUCGCCACUCCCGUCGCGCCGCCUCCUUGCUGGCUCCUCCCCCGCCUUCGCCGCGCGCUGCCACUUACCGUCGCGUCACCUUCUCUGCUUCUCUCCAGCCUCCGACCACCGUAGACCCGUACUCCCGUAGCGCGCUGCCUCGGUCCCUACGUCGCUGCACGCCUGCACACGGCGGAGGAGCUCCCGGGUACUCCGGCAGAAUCCAAAAACUGAGCCAAAUUGUCGGUUUUUUUUUCUAA